Molecule: long non-coding RNA, 726 nt
Filed under: Equus caballus (horse)
Lineage: Eukaryota; Metazoa; Chordata; Mammalia; Perissodactyla; Equidae
Description: lncRNA (ENSECAG00000047098.1)
Source: RNAcentral
UACACAGUCACACAGCGAUGCACUGUCGGUUGUUAUCCAUUGCCUGGGGCAACACUGCUGUUGAAUUGCUGAUGGUGGCUGGUCCUGACAGAGAGUGAAGACCUGCAGUGUUUGGAUUCUUAGGAAGCCCAUUACCAUCUGGGAGCAGGAGGCUCCGGGACAUAAGAGGAGGGACAUUAAGAAGAAGGGAUGACAAAGAUAAAGAGGCAACUUUGGAACAAGUUGACUGUGAAGACUCUGUGAAAAUGUCUACAUGAAAUGUCUUGUAAGCAGUUCAGUGUACUGAUCUGGAGCUCAAGAGAGAAAACAGACCUGGAGAUUCAGGCUGGGAACCCAGAGCCUCAUAUCAACACCUGAAUUUUCCUUUGGAGAGUCCCAUUCCAUGCUAUGUGUUUCUGUGGGAUCGAUUCCACCCUCCCAGCUCCAAGGGUAUUCAGAUUGCAAGCUGUAAGAGUGAUGAGCUGAGACCCUGCUUAGAAAGACACCAACACAGAAGAUGGUCUUGGGAUGGAGACAACGUCCCACUAUUACUUGCUAUGAUGGUUCAAUACUCCUCAAUUUUCCUAAACCCUGCCCUCGCCUUUGUAAGUAGUCCUCUAUUUGAAACCCAGUGGGAUAGAGCCAUCUAUUUCCUGCCAGGACCCUGGCAGAUAAAAUAAUAUUGUUUGAGCUCUGGAUCCAGACUGGCCUAAGAUAGUGAUACUCCUGACUUUUCAGUUACUUGAG